UCUGGGUGGCAGUGUGGCUUGAAGCCUGACACACUGUAUGGGCUCAGAUUGUUCAUUGAAUAACCAAUGGGCAGACUCAGAUGGAGGUUUGGGCUCUGGAGUGCUCCGAGGUUUGGUAAAACUACAGACCUGACUGACUGCAAUUAUAGUUCGUGGCUUUACAUCUGGAUAAGUGAAUGGGGCUUAUUUUACUUGUAUAAGGCAAGAUUCUUUUUUUGUUUGCUUGUAUUUUUGGGGUCACGCCCCAUGCUACUCAGGUAUUACUUUGGGCUCUCUACUCAGGAAUUUCUCCUGGUGGUGCUUGGGGAACCAUAGGGAUGCCAGGGAUGGAACCUGGGUUAGCUGCCACUGUCACCAUCACUGUCAUCCCAUUGCUCAUCGAUUUGUUCUAGCUGGUACCAGUAACAUCUCUCAUUGUGAGACUUAUCGUUACUGUUUUUGGCAUAUGGAGUACACCACGAGUAGCUUGCCAGGCUCUGCCGUGCGGACGCAAUACUCUCGGUAGCUUUCCGGGCUCUCCAAGAGGGGCAGAGGAAUUGAACACGGGUCAGCUGCAUGAAAGGGACAAUAAAGCACCCCAUUUGGCAGCAGUGUUGGGAAGAGUGGAAGAAAGGACCCAGGCAACCAGUCCAAAGCUUUCUCGCUUCGUUGGAGAUCGACAGGCAUCUGGUGGCAGAGGCGGUUGGGAGAAAGUGACCGUGUUUUUCCUCUCCACUUCAUCUGAGCCACCCGUGGGCCCAACGACACCAUCCUCACGAAUCAAAAGGUUCCAGCAACUGAUUUUGGGAAAACUGGAGAAUGAUGUGCAAAUAAUGUAACUAUACUCCGGCCUCACACUAGGCACCAAGAUCACUUCCAAUGAACGAAAGACUUCAGCAUUUGAUCAAAGCCACAAAGUAUAUUGAAAAAACUCAUGAUUUGAUCUCAUUGGGAAAGCAAAGGCCGCAACAACGUUCACCUUUAGUGGUUAAAAAAUAAAAAACUGGUGGUCAGUUAUGCUGCAAGAGAGCUGACAGGUUCACACAGCUUAUCCCUGAGGAUGUCAAUGAUAUUUCAUUCAACACAGAAAAGAGGAUCCC
Sorex araneus (European shrew) is the source of this 1079-nucleotide long non-coding RNA. RefSeq lists it as uncharacterized. The transcript has 4 exons. Lineage: Eukaryota; Metazoa; Chordata; Mammalia; Eulipotyphla; Soricidae. The record is from RefSeq and is a predicted model, not a curated record.